Molecule: transfer RNA, 72 nt
Filed under: Camelus bactrianus (Bactrian camel)
Lineage: Eukaryota; Metazoa; Chordata; Mammalia; Artiodactyla; Camelidae
Also listed under: 3 other names
Rfam family: tRNA
About the family: Transfer RNA (tRNA) molecules are approximately 80 nucleotides in length. Their secondary structure includes four short double-helical elements and three loops (D, anti-codon, and T loops).
Source: Rfam by way of RNAcentral
GAGGGUAUAGCUCAGUGGUAGAGUACAUGCUUAGCAUGCAGAAGGUACUGGGUUCAAUCCCCAGUACCUCCA